CAAAAGUGAUUCCGUAAGUAGUGGCGAGCGAAAGCGGAUUAGCCCAAACCAGUAUUGUUUAGGCAAGACUGGGGUUGUAGGACUUCGAUAUCUGUACAUAAGAGGAACAAGAACUGUCUGGGAAGGCGGGCCGAAGGAGGUGAGAGCCCUGUAUUGGUAAGACUUGUGUAUAGUAGGAGUAUCCUGAGUAGGGGGGAGCUGGUGAAACUCCCUUUGAAUCUGCCGGCACCAUCCGGUAAGGCUAAAUACUACCAA
This 255-nucleotide ribosomal RNA is filed under the name Sandaracinomonas limnophila. Its description in RNAcentral is "Cytophagaceae bacterium FSY-15 partial 23S ribosomal RNA". It matches the Rfam family "Bacterial large subunit ribosomal RNA", at positions 226 to 477 of the family's 2925-position model. The record is from RNAcentral. Lineage: Bacteria; Pseudomonadati; Bacteroidota; Cytophagia; Cytophagales; Flectobacillaceae.